UACGGGGGGGGUAAGCGUUGUUCGGAAUUACUGGGCGUAAAGGGCUCGUAGGCGGCCAACUAAGUCGGACGUGAAAUCCCUCAGCUUAACUGGGGAACUGCGUCCGAUACUGGAUGGCUUGGAUUUGGGAGAGGGAUGCGGAAUUCCUGGUGUAGCGGUGAAAUGCGCAGAUAUCAGGAAGAACACCGAUGGCGAAGGCAGUUCUCUGGGACGGUACUGACGCUGAGACGCGAAAGCGUGGGGAGCGAACAGG
This 253-nucleotide ribosomal RNA is filed under the name uncultured bacterium. Its description in RNAcentral is "partial 16S ribosomal RNA". It matches the Rfam family "Bacterial small subunit ribosomal RNA", at positions 524 to 776 of the family's 1533-position model. The record is from RNAcentral.